Molecule: ribosomal RNA, 395 nt
Filed under: uncultured bacterium
Lineage: Bacteria
Description: bacterial SSU rRNA
Rfam family: Bacterial small subunit ribosomal RNA
Source: RNAcentral
UAUUGGACAAUGGGGGGAACCCUGAUCCAGCGACGCCGCGUGAGUGAAGAAGUAUUUCGGUAUGUAAAGCCCUAUCAGCAGGGAAGAAAGAAAUGACGGUACCUGACUAAGAAGCCCCGGCUAACUACGUGCCAGCAGCCGCGGUAAUACGUAGGCGGCAAGCGUUAUCCGGAUUUACUGGGUGUAAAGGGAGCGUAGACGGCGAUGCAAGUCUGAAGUGAAAAGCGGGGGCCCAACCCCCGGACUGCUUUGGAAACUGUAUGGCUGGAGUGCAGGAGAGGUAAGUGGAAUUGCUAGUGUAGCGGUGAAAUGCGUAGAUAUUAGGAGGAACACCAGUGGCGAGGGCGGCUUACUGGACUGUAACUGACGUUGAGGCUCGAGAGCGUGGGGAGCAA